This 75-nucleotide transfer RNA is filed under the name Thermaceae bacterium. RNAcentral describes it as "tRNA-Thr". It matches the Rfam family "tRNA". From Rfam's summary of the family: Transfer RNA (tRNA) molecules are approximately 80 nucleotides in length. Their secondary structure includes four short double-helical elements and three loops (D, anti-codon, and T loops). The record is from RNAcentral. Lineage: Bacteria; Thermotogati; Deinococcota; Deinococci; Thermales; Thermaceae.
GCCGAAGUAGCUCAGCGGUAGAGCAACUGAUUCGUAAUCAGUAGGUCGUCAGUUCAAUCCUGACCUUCGGCUCCA